GAUGGCAGUUUUCUGCAAGUCAGGAGGUCACAGCUGGUGUGCUGCUGCCCUCUCUCCUGGCUUCUCUCUCUCUCUUCCCAGGUUUCACUGAGAUUUUCCAGCAAAUUGUACCAGGGAAUGUGGUCCUUCCUUUGCUUUUCUGUUAUUUUCACAGAUCAGUCAUGUUGGAUCCCUAGAUACAAUUCUAGAUGCAAUAUUUUUCUACACCCAUCCUUGCCAUUUAAUUUACCUUAUAGUCAAACAUUACAUGCUUCACUAAAGAGCUCAGUCAGGGAAAAAGACCCUAAUCUUAUCUAUUCCAAAAAAACUUUCACUUAGUUAUAGUAACAUUCAUUUUGAACAAUUAGAUUAUAACUUCCUCUAAUAAUUUUUGUAUCUUAAAUCUAGAAAAGGGAACUCUUAAGACAGAAUUCAUUAAUCUGGAAAAACUGAAAAUGUUUUACAUAAGUAUUUAUGAGCACAUAUGCACAUAGGAUUAAAAUUUUUCUGAAAGAUGAUUUAUAAAGAAAUAUAAAGUAUUCCACUUGAAUUUUCAAUGUGAUUAAUAAACACAGCAUUAAUAUAGCAGUAGGUUAUACCAGUACUUGGUCCCUGUAUAGUCUGGAUCUCUGCCAAUACAUACAGGAAGACAGCAGUUGUGGGCCCAAGUACUACACCCCUUCACACUCCUUGAAGCCCUGGUGGUGUUCCUGGCUUCCACUUGGCCAGGCCUGCUUUUGUGGCAUUCUACUCUCUGCCACUCUACCCUUGAAACCAUACUCCAAUAGAUAUUCAACAUUCAAAACAGGAGAAAGCAAACACUAUACGGAUUAAAGAACACAAGGAACAUUAUAAUCAUGCCAUUCUUAAUGUGGGCAUAUAAGGGUUUGUUAUAUAAUGUGAUAAAUGUACAAAUGUUUCAUAAGCCAAUGAAGCAUAAAAUAGUUACUGCAGUGUUUUUUUUUUCUGAUUUUAUCUGAAUAUAUUAUACUUCUCAAAGCAUUUUGAACUAUACAAAUAUCCUGGCUUUGAAUCUUGGGACUGCUAUCAGACUGAACCUGAAUUAACUUCUAGAAUUACAAAAAAGUUGGCUUCCUCAUGCAGUGCCUAUUUCACAGUACUGGAGUCGGACCAGCUGCAUUCUUCUAUGAAUGGACCCCAAGGCCUUAUUUGGAGAUUCUGGAUUUCUAUCAGCAAAGUAGAAAAAUUGCAAACAUAUUUUCAGAAGAGGCCUUCGGUAUAAACUCAGGUAAGUUCUUUGUUUUCUUGGAAUCUUUCUUAAAUGUGUUCCUGUAGCUUGUUUUAUGAAAAAGUAUGUCUCAGG
Molecule: long non-coding RNA, 1303 nt
Organism: Ochotona curzoniae (black-lipped pika)
Lineage: Eukaryota; Metazoa; Chordata; Mammalia; Lagomorpha; Ochotonidae
Exons: 3
Source: RefSeq, a predicted model, not a curated record